CUACGGGUCGCAGCAGUGGGGAAUAUUGGGCAAUGGGCGAAAGCCUGACCCAGCAACACUGCGUGAUUGAAGAAGGUCUUCGGAUUGUAAAAAUCUGUCCUUGGGGACGAAAAAAAUGACGGUACCCAAGGAGGAAGCCCCGGCUAACUACGUGCCAGCAGCCGCGGUAAUACGUAGGGGGCGAGCGUUGUCCGGAAUUACUGGGCGUAAAGGGUGCGCAGGCGGCGCUUUAAGUCAGAUGUGAAAUACCCAGGCUUAACCUGGGGGGUGCAUUUGAAACUGGAGUGCUUGAGUGCAGGAGAGGAAAGUGGAAUUCCUAGUGUAGCGGUGAAAUGCGUAGAUAUUAGGAGGAACACCAGUGGCGAAGGCGACUUUCUGGACUGUAACUGACGCUGAGGCACGAAAGCGUGGGGAGCAAACAGGAUUAGAUACCCUAGUAGUC
RNAcentral lists this ribosomal RNA (442 nucleotides) under uncultured bacterium. RNAcentral describes it as "partial 16S ribosomal RNA". It matches the Rfam family "Bacterial small subunit ribosomal RNA", at positions 339 to 795 of the family's 1533-position model. The record is from RNAcentral.